Molecule: long non-coding RNA, 3239 nt
Filed under: Ananas comosus (pineapple)
Lineage: Eukaryota; Viridiplantae; Streptophyta; Magnoliopsida; Poales; Bromeliaceae
Description: long non-coding RNA (ACOM_LNC002580)
Source: RNAcentral
GUACAUAUUAUGGCAAAUACUAUGAGCAAGUUCUUUGAAACAAGAUGGAAACCCAUUGAGAAGAAGCUAGCUGCAGCUGAUGCUGCUCUUAAGAGAGAAACUCAAGAGGCCAAGCCAGUGUUGCAGUCCAAGAAGAGGAAGGAACCUCCUGUAAAUCAUGACAUUGCUUUGCCGGAGAGAACUAAGCCAAAAAUGACAGAUGAGCAGAAGCUGAACCUUAGCAGGCAGUUAGAACCUCUAGUGGGUGAGAUGCCGGAUCAUAUAGUUGAUUUCUUGAGGAGCCGCUCGAAACAGACCAGUGAAGAUGAGAUAGAGAUUGACAUUGAUUCUCUUAGUGAUGAUACAUUGUUUGAGUUACAGAAGCUUGUAGAUGAUUAUUUGGAGAAGAAACGAUCGGAGAACCACGCAAAAGCUGAGCCUUGUGAAAUGGAGGUGUGUUUUGCUUGAUUGAUAUGUGAGUUGGGUAUUUGUCAAGUUUGUGUUAUGUUUAUAAUUAAACAUUUUGAUGUCUUAUGCAGAUCUUAAAUGAAUCUGGCCUUAGCAAUUCGUCAAUGCAUCAUGGAAAAGGUCAACUUCUUCCUUAUUAAUGCUUUUUUUAUGAUAAUGUGCUUGACAUGUUCAAAUCUUAUGGUUCUUGCUUUUCAGUCAAUGAGCUGGCCGAUGAGGAGGUUGACAUUGGUGGCGAUGAUCCUCCUGUCCCAAUCUUCCCUCCUGUGGUGAUUGAAAAAUCAUGUGGGAACAAUUAGAAUCAAAUAUACUUGGAUUCUUCGAGUUUCCACCACCAUUUUAUAACAUCAGAGGUACAUUCUCCCUAUGCACCUGCGUGUCGGACGAUCUCUCAAUGAAUCAUCUCAACCGUUGGCGGCGAUCUGAACCGAUUUUAGCCGUAGGGAUGAUGAAACCACCUUAAUAUAUAGAUUGCACUAGAUUCCUCACCUCACGGUUGUAGAUCGUACUAGAUUCGAAUCUGGGAUGUGCUAAAAUCAUGUACGGGAUUAAGCGAGUCAACACCGGCUCAGCCGUCCGAUGCAUUGGGCCUCAAAUCUACGGACCGAACACCGCCGCGCUCAACCCAUCCCAACGGACGGCUAUGAUCGACCGAACCGCAUCAUCGAAGCGCGUAUAAGGUCGCGCCCCCGCUACGGGGUGAGGUCGAGGUCGAACCCAGCCCCGAUCGCCGCUUCGAGCGUCGCCCUUUCGAAAAGGGUAAACAAGUAAACUCGUAAAUCUCUCUCUCUCUCUCUCUCUCUUCGCGUUCACGUUUCCUCUCCACACUCGACCCCCUCCAAGGAGAGAGCGAAGCGAAGCGAAGAAGAGCGGCGGCGGCGGCGGCGGCGACGACGCGAGCGGGGGGGGGCGGGGGAGGAGGAGUUUGUGUUCUCUUUUAGGGUUUCCUUGCGCUAAGAGGAGGUUCUCCCGAUCGAGAUCCAGGUUUCUCGCUCAUCCCGGAGACCCUUUUCCGCGAAAUUUUUUUCUCGCCUUUAUUUUUGAUUUUGGGGGGUUCGGCUGCGCCGCGCUUCGGCUCUGCGCGGUGAUCUCGCGCUUUCUCGGGUCAAAGGCGAGGGUUUUCGUUCCCAGUGGUGGCGGAAACGGGAAUUUACAGUGGCGGGGGUGGGAAAAGGGGGAUUGGUUGGUGUUAGGGUUUCUUCGUUACGGCGAGGGAGCUGCAAGCGUGCUCGUUCCUUUUUGUGUCCGGUGAUUUGGGGGGAUUUGUAGGGUAUUAGCGAGAGAGGGCCGUUUUGGUUGCAGCUAGGGUUUGGGUGUUAAGCUUGCUGGAAGUGGAGCGUGGACAUUUUUGCGGGAGUUUUAGCUUCACUUUGGUGUUAAGGUUUCUUCAGUACACACUCGAAGAGAAAGCAAAGCUGUAAGUAUUGAGUUUGUUGGAAAGGCAAUAUCUGUACUAUUAGGGAGGAAACAGAAGCAAAUUUGAUAUUUGAAAGAGCAUGUUGCUGGAAAAAAAUUUAAUUUAGUACGAUCAAAUUAUCAAUUCACACGGCCAUACUUAACAAAAUCUGGACGAGUGUUGACUUUGUUCCUCGUUCUUAAGGUGAGAAUAGUUUUUCAUUGGUGUAGCAGAAGAAAAGAGCUGAAAAAGGAGACUACUCUGUUGUCGUUGCGUACACAAUGAUGGGAAAGACACAGAAAUUCUCAAAGGGAUUCUCUUCUGGAUUUGUCCCGGAUUAUCGGCAUGCGGUCGAGACGGUAGGUGAAUCGGAAGGGUUUGCUAGCCCUGCUCGCAUUGACUCUGAAGACUCUUGCGCCCCAAAGAGGAAAUGCAUAAGUUUAAAUUCAGACAGAUGCGACGGGUUUAAUGUCCCUUUGCAAGUCAUUUCUCUUUCCAAGAUGUCAGGUUCCGAGAGGAAGGAGUUGGAAAUGAGACUUAGAGGAGAGCUUGAGCAAACCAGGAUUCUCCAAAAGAGACUGCUUUCAAAGAGUGCAGCAGGCUUAAAUGGGGUUGCCCUAUCUUCCUCCAGUGAUGUCCAUGUAAAGAAACAGGAUUCUGUUCUCCAGCAUAGUUCCCAAUCGAAAAGGGAAAACUCUGAGUCUGCAAAGCCGGCGCCACCUCCGCCUCUGCCUCCGCCUCCGCCUCCACCUUUGAUCAGCAACGCCCAUGUAAUGAUGUUGAAACAAUGCGAGUCACUUCUUAAACGCUUAAUGGCGCAUCAGUAUGGAUGGGUAUUCAACACUCCUGUUGACGUGGUGAAGUUGAAUAUUCCAGAUUAUUAUCAAGUUAUUAAGCAUCCGAUGGAUUUGGGGACUGUCAAGAGUAGGAUCACUUCGGGUGCUUACUCCAGCCCAUCGGAUUUUGUUUCUGAUGUCAGGCUUACUUUUACAAAUGCCAUGACUUACAACCCACCUGGUAAUGACGUACAUAUUAUGGCAAAUACUAUGAGCAAGUUCUUUGAAACAAGAUGGAAACCCAUUGAGAAGAAGCUAGCUGCAGCUGAUGCUGCUCUUAAGAGAGAAACUCAAGAGGCCAAGCCAGUGUUGCAGUCCAAGAAGAGGAAGGAACCUCCUGUAAAUCAUGACAUUGCUUUGCCGGAGAGAACUAAGCCAAAAAUGACAGAUGAGCAGAAGCUGAACCUUAGCAGGCAGUUAGAACCUCUAGUGGGUGAGAUGCCGGAUCAUAUAGUUGAUUUCUUGAGGAGCCGCUCGAAACAGACCAGUGAAGAUGAGAUAGAGAUUGACAUUGAUUCUCUUAGUGAUGAUACAUUGUUUGAGUUACAGAAGCUUGUAGA